Molecule: transfer RNA, 72 nt
Filed under: Ipomoea nil (Japanese morning glory)
Lineage: Eukaryota; Viridiplantae; Streptophyta; Magnoliopsida; Solanales; Convolvulaceae
Rfam family: tRNA
About the family: Transfer RNA (tRNA) molecules are approximately 80 nucleotides in length. Their secondary structure includes four short double-helical elements and three loops (D, anti-codon, and T loops).
Source: Rfam by way of RNAcentral
GGGCAUUUGGUCAAGUGGUAUGAUUCUCACUUUGGGUGCAAGAAGUCCUAAGUUUAAUUCUCAUAAUGCCCU